Molecule: transfer RNA, 75 nt
Filed under: Candidatus Altimarinota bacterium
Lineage: Bacteria; Candidatus Altimarinota
Description: tRNA-Gln
Rfam family: tRNA
About the family: Transfer RNA (tRNA) molecules are approximately 80 nucleotides in length. Their secondary structure includes four short double-helical elements and three loops (D, anti-codon, and T loops).
Source: RNAcentral
UGGGAAUUAGCCAAAUGGUAAGGCAGCGGACUUUGACUCCGUCAUUUGGGGGUUCGAGCCCCUCAUUCCCAGCCA